RNAcentral lists this ribosomal RNA (335 nucleotides) under uncultured bacterium. Its description in RNAcentral is "bacterial SSU rRNA". It matches the Rfam family "Bacterial small subunit ribosomal RNA", at positions 28 to 334 of the family's 1533-position model. The record is from RNAcentral.
GAUGAACGCUGGCGGCGUGCUUAACACAUGCAAGUCGAACGGAGUUAUCAUUUUUGAAGCGAUUAGCUUGCUAAGAGUGGAAAAGUUGAUAACUUAGUGGCGGACGGGUGAGUAACGCGUGGGUAACCUGCCUUACACAGGGGGAUAACACUUAGAAAUAGGUGCUAAUACCGCAUAAGCGCACAGUCCCGCAUGGGACAGAGUGAAAAACAUUAGUGGUGUAAGAUGGACCCGCGUCUGAUUAGCUUGUUGGCGGGGUAACGGCCCACCAAGGCGACGAUCAGUAGCCGGCCUGAGAGGGUGGACGGCCACAUUGGGACUGAGACACGGCCCAA